RNAcentral lists this ribosomal RNA (847 nucleotides) under Mammaliicoccus sciuri. RNAcentral describes it as "bacterial SSU rRNA". It matches the Rfam family "Bacterial small subunit ribosomal RNA", at positions 65 to 891 of the family's 1533-position model. The record is from RNAcentral. Lineage: Bacteria; Bacillati; Bacillota; Bacilli; Caryophanales; Staphylococcaceae.
AGCGAACAGCAUGAGAAGCUUGCUUCUCUGAUGUUAGCGGCGGACGGGUGAGUAACACGUGGGUAACCUACCUAUAAGACUGGGAUAACUCCGGGAAACCGGGGCUAAUACCGGAUAAUAUUUUGAACCGCAUGGUUCAAUAGUGAAAGACGGUUUCGGCUGUCACUUAUAGAUGGACCCGCGCCGUAUUAGCUAGUUGGUAAGGUAACGGCUUACCAAGGCGACGAUACGUAGCCGACCUGAGAGGGUGAUCGGCCACACUGGAACUGAGACACGGUCCAGACUCCUACGGGAGGCAGCAGUAGGGAAUCUUCCGCAAUGGGCGAAAGCCUGACGGAGCAACGCCGCGUGAGUGAUGAAGGUCUUCGGAUCGUAAAACUCUGUUGUUAGGGAAGAACAAAUUUGUUAGUAACUGAACAAGUCUUGACGGUACCUAACCAGAAAGCCACGGCUAACUACGUGCCAGCAGCCGCGGUAAUACGUAGGUGGCAAGCGUUAUCCGGAAUUAUUGGGCGUAAAGCGCGCGUAGGCGGUUUCUUAAGUCUGAUGUGAAAGCCCACGGCUCAACCGUGGAGGGUCAUUGGAAACUGGGAAACUUGAGUGCAGAAGAGGAGAGUGGAAUUCCAUGUGUAGCGGUGAAAUGCGCAGAGAUAUGGAGGAACACCAGUGGCGAAGGCGGCUCUCUGGUCUGUAACUGACGCUGAUGUGCGAAAGCGUGGGGAUCACACAGGAUUAGAUACCCUGGUAGUCCACGCCGUAAACGAUGAGUGCUAAGUGUUAGGGGGUGUCCGCACUUACUGAUGCAGCGAGCGACAUUAAGUACUCCGCCGGCGGGGGGCGACCGCAU